Molecule: ribosomal RNA, 752 nt
Filed under: Vreelandella aquamarina
Lineage: Bacteria; Pseudomonadati; Pseudomonadota; Gammaproteobacteria; Oceanospirillales; Halomonadaceae
Description: bacterial SSU rRNA
Rfam family: Bacterial small subunit ribosomal RNA
Source: RNAcentral
GUGGUGUGGCGGAGCUACCAUGCAGUCGAGCGGUAACAGAUCCAGCUUGCUGGAUGCUGACGAGCGGCGGACGGGUGAGUAAUGCAUAGGAAUCUGCCCGAUAGUGGGGGAUAACCUGGGGAAACCCAGGCUAAUACCGCAUACGUCCUACGGGAGAAAGGGGGCUUCGGCUCCCGCUAUCGGAUGAGCCUAUGUCGGAUUAGCUAGUUGGUGAGGUAACGGCUCACCAAGGCCACGAUCCGUAGCUGGUCUGAGAGGAUGAUCAGCCACAUCGGGACUGAGACACGGCCCGAACUCCUACGGGAGGCAGCAGUGGGGAAUAUUGGACAAUGGGGGGAACCCUGAUCCAGCCAUGCCGCGUGUGUGAAGAAGGCCCUCGGGUUGUAAAGCACUUUCAGCGAGGAAGAACGCCUAGCGGUUAAUACCCGCUAGGAAAGACAUCACUCGCAGAAGAAGCACCGGCUAACUCCGUGCCAGCAGCCGCGGUAAUACGGAGGGUGCAAGCGUUAAUCGGAAUUACUGGGCGUAAAGCGCGCGUAGGUGGCUUGAUAAGCCGGUUGUGAAAGCCCCGGGCUCAACCUGGGAACGGCAUCCGGAACUGUCAAGCUAGAGUGCAGGAGAGGAAGGUAGAAUUCCCGGUGUAGCGGUGAAAUGCGUAGAGAUCGGGAGGAAUACCAGUGGCGAAGGCGGCCUUCUGGACUGACACUGACACUGAGGUGCGAAAGCGUGGGUAGCAAACAGGAUUAGAUCCC